This 303-nucleotide ribosomal RNA is filed under the name uncultured bacterium. RNAcentral's name for it is "partial 16S ribosomal RNA". It matches the Rfam family "Bacterial small subunit ribosomal RNA", at positions 507 to 807 of the family's 1533-position model. The record is from RNAcentral.
AGCAGCCGCCGCGGGAAAACGUAGGGUGCAAGCGUUAAUCGGAAUUACUGGGCGUAAAGCGUGCGCAGGCGGUUUUGUAAGACAGAGGUGAAAUCCCCGGGCUCAACCUGGGAACUGCCUUUGUGACUGCAAGGCUAGAGUACGGCAGAGGGGGAUGGAAUUCCGCGUGUAGCAGUGAAAUGCGUAGAUAUGCGGAGGAACACCGAUGGCGAAGGCAAUCCCCUGGGCCUGUACUGACGCUCAUGCACGAAAGCGUGGGGAGCAAACAGGAUUAGAUACCCCCGUAGUCCCUGUCUCUUAUAC